CCUACGGGUGGCAGCAGUAGGGAAUAUUGCUCAAUGGGGGAAACCCUGAAGCAGCAACGCCGCGUGGAGGAUGAAGGUUUUAGGAUUGUAAACUUCUUUUGUGAGAGAAGCUAAUGACGGUAUCUCACGAAUAAGCACCGGCUAACUCCGUGCCAGCAGCCGCGGUAAUUCGGGGGGUGCAAGCGUUACUCGGAAUCACUGGGCGUAAAGCGUGCGCAGGCGGGUUUGUAAGUUAGGCGUUAAAUUCUGGGGGUUAACUACCGAACUGCAGUUGAAACUGGGUGUGUAGAGUGGGCGAGAGGUAGGUGGAAUGCUUGGUGUAGGGGUAAAAUGCGUAGAUAUCAAGAAGAAUACUCAUUGCGAAGGCAGCCUACUGGA
RNAcentral lists this ribosomal RNA (378 nucleotides) under uncultured bacterium. RNAcentral's name for it is "partial 16S ribosomal RNA". It matches the Rfam family "Bacterial small subunit ribosomal RNA", at positions 338 to 733 of the family's 1533-position model. The record is from RNAcentral.